Molecule: ribosomal RNA, 584 nt
Filed under: uncultured bacterium
Lineage: Bacteria
Description: bacterial SSU rRNA
Rfam family: Bacterial small subunit ribosomal RNA
Source: RNAcentral
UGGUGAGAUAAAAGCUUACCAAGGCGACGAUGGGUAGCCGGCCUUAGCGGGUGAACGGCCACACUGGAACUGAGACACGGUCCAGACUCCUACGGGAGGCAGCAGUGGGGAAUAUUGCACAAUGGAGGAAACUCUGAUGCAGCGACGCCGCGUGAGUGAUGAAGGUUUUCGGAUCGUAAAGCUCUGUCCUUGGGGAAGAUAAUGACGGUACCCAAGGAGGAAGCCCCGGCUAACUACGUGCCAGCAGCCGCGGUAAUACGUAGGGGGCGAGCGUUAUCCGGAUUUAUUGGGCGUAAAGGGUAUGUAGGCGGCCAGAUAAGUCAGGUGUUAAAGGCAACGGCUCAACCGUUGAAUGCAUCUGAAACUGUUUGGCUUGAGUACGGGAGAGGAAAGUGGAAUUCCUAGUGUAGCGGUGAAAUGCGUAGAUAUUAGGAGGAACACCAGUGGCGAAGGCGACUUUCUGGACCGAUACUGACGCUGAGAUACGAAAGUGUGGGGAGCAAACAGGAUUAGAUACCCUGGUAGUCCACACUGUAAACGAUGAGUGCUAGGUGUUGGGGGUCGAACCUCAGUGCCGCCGUUAA